This is a non-coding RNA of Triticum urartu, 550 nucleotides long. NCBI's taxonomy places the organism in Eukaryota, Viridiplantae, Streptophyta, Magnoliopsida, Poales, Poaceae. The record is from RefSeq and is a predicted model, not a curated record.
UUGCAGUUGUGAUGAGUUACUAAUCAAAGUUUUUGUUGCAAUUUCACACUUUUUGGGAGUCUGAUGGUCAGGUUAUUUAGGUGGAUGUAGUAGCUUGCUAAUGGUGGCUUUCACGUCCAGUGCAAAUACUAGUGGACGUGGACCUGUUGGGGAAAGCACGUACAUCUUUGUGUUUAGUGAGCAGGUUUCCGAAGAAAGAAAUACUCAAUGCCAUUCGGUGGUUUUCAAUGUGCCAGGCUCUACAUUCAUAGUACAUCAUUGAGUUUUACCUUCAACUAAGACUAUUUCCGUUGAGAUUCAAAAGAUAUACGGAUGAUUACAUGGGUGCGUGGCAAGUAUACUGCAAUGAUGAUGAUGAUGUUCCUGGUUCACGAUGAAGACGAUGAUGGAUGUUCUCAGUUUUAGUUUAGUUGUAGGGAUGCUUUUCCUGUUGGAUGAUGUUCCUCGGUUAAGUUUUAGUUUAAGUUGUAGGGAUGUUGAUGGAUGAUUUUAGUUUAAGUUUUGCUGUCAAGAGAAUAUUCAGGUUAUGCAUCACAUCUGGAUGUUAUUC